This 774-nucleotide ribosomal RNA is filed under the name Actinomadura rayongensis. RNAcentral describes it as "bacterial SSU rRNA". It matches the Rfam family "Bacterial small subunit ribosomal RNA", at positions 84 to 872 of the family's 1533-position model. Lineage: Bacteria; Bacillati; Actinomycetota; Actinomycetes; Streptosporangiales; Thermomonosporaceae. The record is from RNAcentral.
GGGGUACUCGAGCGGCGAACGGGUGAGUAACACGUGAGCAACCUGCCCCUGACUCUGGGAUAAGCCUGGGAAACCGGGUCUAAUACCGGAUACGACCACUGNCCGCAUGGUGGGUGGUGGAAAGUUUUUCGGUUGGGGAUGGGCUCGCGGCCUAUCAGCUUGUUGGUGGGGUGAUGGCCUACCAAGGCGACGACGGGUAACCGGCCUGAGAGGGCGACCGGUCACACUGGGACUGAGACACGGCCCAGACUCCUACGGGAGGCAGCAGUGGGGAAUCUUGCGCAAUGGGCGGAAGCCUGACGCAGCGACGCCGCGUGAGGGAUGACGGCCUUCGGGUUGUAAACCUCUUUCAGCAGGGACGAAGCUAACGUGACGGUACCUGCAGAAGAAGCGCCGGCUAACUACGUGCCAGCAGCCGCGGUAAUACGUAGGGCGCAAGCGUUGUCCGGAAUUAUUGGGCGUAAAGAGCUCGUAGGCGGCUUGUCGCGUCGGGUGUGAAAGCCCACGGCUCAACCGUGGGUCUGCACUCGAUACGGGCAGGCUAGAGGCAGCUAGGGGAGCAUGGAAUUCCCGGUGUAGCGGUGAAAUGCGCAGAUAUCGGGAGGAACACCGGUGGCGAAGGCGGUGCUCUGGGGCUGUUCUGACGCUGAGGAGCGAAAGCGUGGGGAGCGAACAGGAUUAGAUACCCUGGUAGUCCACGCCGUAAACGUUGGGCGCUAGGUGUGGGGUCCUUCCACGGGUUCCGCGCCGUAGCUAACGCAUUAAGCGCCCCGC